Drosophila albomicans is the source of this 456-nucleotide long non-coding RNA. RefSeq lists it as uncharacterized. NCBI's taxonomy places the organism in Eukaryota, Metazoa, Arthropoda, Insecta, Diptera, Drosophilidae. The record is from RefSeq and is a predicted model, not a curated record. The transcript has 3 exons.
UUGAAAUCCAAUAAGGCGUUUGGUCUUCAAUUUAAAUAUUAUUUAAUCAUUCAUAAAAAGACCAACUAAUGGACUUGUCACAAUACUUUAAACCGUUGCGGAAUAUCUUGCUCUUGGGGGACGAGUUCGUUGGAAAAACUUCUCUGAUAAAAGGAUAUAUAAACAAAGAAAAUUCUGGUAAAUGCAGAACAUCAUAUGGAGCGGAUCUAUUUACAAAGGAAUUGAUUCUAAAUGACAGUUUGGUUUCCCUGCAGAUCUGGGAGAUAUUGGGGUAUGAUGGAUUUAAUAAUAAGAGCACGAAAUUCUAUAGAGCAGCCCAUGGCUGCAUUUUAGUCUUUGAUGUCACGCGUCGAAAAUCAUUCGAAAGUCUUAAUUCGUGGUGGCGUCGAUUUUUUUUUAUGACAAAUAAAAAAAACCCUGAUGAAUUCCCGGUUGCUGUUGUGGGUAACAAAAUUG